RNAcentral lists this non-coding RNA (69 nucleotides) under Halopseudomonas aestusnigri. Its description in RNAcentral is "narK RNA". It matches the Rfam family "narK RNA". Lineage: Bacteria; Pseudomonadati; Pseudomonadota; Gammaproteobacteria; Pseudomonadales; Pseudomonadaceae. The record is from RNAcentral.
GGCAUAGAAGCUGCUUACUAUUCUUACAGGUAGCCAACGGCGGUUGCCCCAUCACGACAAUGACGUCGC